UAUCCAGUGGCUUAGUGGUUAGCAUGUUCGCCUCACACCUCCAGGGUCCGGGGUUCGAUUCCCAUCGGGGAAU
Molecule: non-coding RNA, 73 nt
Organism: Ameiurus melas (black bullhead)
Lineage: Eukaryota; Metazoa; Chordata; Actinopteri; Siluriformes; Ictaluridae
Source: the annotation of a GenBank genome assembly